UACAGAGGGUGCAAGCGUUAAUCGGAAUUACUGGGCGUAAAGGGAGCGUAGGUGGCUCGAUAAGUCAGAUGUGAAAUCCCCGGGCUCAACCUGGGAACUGCAUCUGAUACUGUUGAGCUAGAGUAGGUGAGAGGGAGGUAGAAUUUCAGGUGUAGCGGUGAAAUGCGUAGAGAUCUGAAGGAAUACCGAUGGCGAAGGCAGCCUCCUGGCAUCAUACUGACACUGAGGCUCGAAAGCGUGGGUAGCAAACAGG
This 253-nucleotide ribosomal RNA is filed under the name uncultured bacterium. RNAcentral's name for it is "partial 16S ribosomal RNA". It matches the Rfam family "Bacterial small subunit ribosomal RNA", at positions 524 to 776 of the family's 1533-position model. The record is from RNAcentral.